This 253-nucleotide ribosomal RNA is filed under the name uncultured bacterium. Its description in RNAcentral is "partial 16S ribosomal RNA". It matches the Rfam family "Bacterial small subunit ribosomal RNA", at positions 524 to 776 of the family's 1533-position model. The record is from RNAcentral.
UACGUAGGUGGCAAGCGUUGUCCGGAUUUAUUGGGUUUAAAGGGUGCGUAGGCGGUUAUAUAAGUCAGUGCUGAAAUAUCCCGGCUUAACCGGGAGGGUGGCAUUGAUACUGUAUGACUUGAGUAAAGUUGAGGUUGGCGGAAUUGACGGUGUAGCGGUGAAAUGCUUAGAUAUCGUCAAGAACACCGAUAGCGAAGGCAGCUUACUGGGCUGUAACUGACGCUGAUGCACGAAAGUGUGGGGAUCAAACAGG